Molecule: small nuclear RNA, 121 nt
Organism: Heterocephalus glaber (naked mole-rat)
Lineage: Eukaryota; Metazoa; Chordata; Mammalia; Rodentia; Bathyergidae
Gene: U2
Rfam family: U2 spliceosomal RNA
About the family: U2 is a small nuclear RNA (snRNA) component of the spliceosome (involved in pre-mRNA splicing). Complementary binding between U2 snRNA (in an area lying towards the 5' end but 3' to hairpin I) and the branchpoint sequence (BPS) of the intron results the bulging out of an unpaired adenosine, on the BPS, which initiates a nucleophilic attack at the intronic 5' splice site, thus starting the first of two transesterification reactions that mediate splicing.
Source: Ensembl
AUUGCUUCCUGGCCUUUUGGCUAAGAUCAAAUGUAGUAUUUGUUCUAUCAGACUAUCUUAAUACAUAAAACUGAUAUUUACAGAAUAAUUUGUGAUUUAGAUUUCAUGCAGUGGAAAGAUU